GCCCCUGUGGCGCAAUGGACUAGCGUGUUGGACUUCUAAUCCAAAGGUUGUGGGUUCUCGUCCCACCAGGGGUG
RNAcentral lists this transfer RNA (74 nucleotides) under Nematostella vectensis (starlet sea anemone). It matches the Rfam family "tRNA". Rfam says of the family: Transfer RNA (tRNA) molecules are approximately 80 nucleotides in length. Their secondary structure includes four short double-helical elements and three loops (D, anti-codon, and T loops). Further hydrogen bonds mediate the characteristic L-shaped molecular structure. tRNAs have two regions of fundamental functional importance: the anti-codon, which is responsible for specific mRNA codon recognition, and the 3' end, to which the tRNAs corresponding amino acid is attached (by aminoacyl-tRNA synthetases). tRNAs cope with the degeneracy of the genetic code in two manners: having more than one tRNA (with a specific anti-codon) for a particular amino acid; and 'wobble' base-pairing, i.e. permitting non-standard base-pairing at the 3rd anti-codon position. Lineage: Eukaryota; Metazoa; Cnidaria; Anthozoa; Actiniaria; Edwardsiidae. The record is from Rfam by way of RNAcentral.